UACGUAGGUGGCAAGCGUUGUCCGGAUUUACUGGGCGUAAAGAGCGCGCAGGCGGUCGUUCAAGUCGCGUGUGAAAGCCCCCGGCUCAACUGGGGAGGGUCACGCGAUACUGAUCGACUCGAAGGCAGGAGAGGGAAGUGGAAUUCCCGGUGUAGUGGUGAAAUGCGUAGAUAUCGAGAGGAACACCUGCGGCGAAGGCGGGUUGCUGGGCCGACACUGACGCUGAUGCGCGAAAGCCAGGGGAGCGAACGGG
Molecule: ribosomal RNA, 253 nt
Filed under: uncultured bacterium
Lineage: Bacteria
Description: partial 16S ribosomal RNA
Rfam family: Bacterial small subunit ribosomal RNA
Source: RNAcentral